This 583-nucleotide long non-coding RNA is filed under the name Olea europaea (common olive). RNAcentral describes it as "long non-coding RNA (OEUR_LNC014180)". Lineage: Eukaryota; Viridiplantae; Streptophyta; Magnoliopsida; Lamiales; Oleaceae. The record is from RNAcentral.
AAGCAUACGUACGGACAUACUUUACAUCGUACAAAUGUAUACAAACAGAUUUAAGAAAAAAUGGAAAAGAAAGAGAAAUAAAGGGAUCAGUACACAAAGAUCAAAACACAGCAUGAAAACUGGGUUUUUCAGACUGACCCAGCAUUUUUACGUCAAAUUGAGGUAAAAAGUGAAGUGUAGGAAUUUACCAGGCAAGAAAAUCAAUGCAUAAAAGAGUCAAUUUGAGGAAAUUCAAGAUGCCCAUUUGAAUUCUAAGAACGAUCUGUUUUCUUGGAUGCUUUAGCAGCUUGGAUUCUGAUUUUUUAUGAAAUAAUAUGGAGAGAUCAUGAAGGAGAAGACUUGAGGAACAUGAGACUUGUAGUACAGUGUUGAAAAUGACUCCUUGUAUUUCUCCUCGAUAAACAAAAUUUUUAACUCUUGCACCUUUAUGUCGUUAAUAGCUCCAUAAAAUCUUUAUUUUUUCUCUCUUUUAUUAAUUCCUUUCUUUUCUUUCUUCCAAAGAAACAGAUGUAUAAACUAGGAACCGAUACGAGGGUUGCUUACCCCUACGGACACCUCACAUGGAGCGUAGGUUAAUUUUCGG